This 482-nucleotide ribosomal RNA is filed under the name uncultured bacterium. Its description in RNAcentral is "bacterial SSU rRNA". It matches the Rfam family "Bacterial small subunit ribosomal RNA", at positions 30 to 506 of the family's 1533-position model. The record is from RNAcentral.
UUGAACGCUGGCGGCAUGCUUUACACAUGCAAGUCGAACGGUAACAGGGAGCUUGCUCCGCUGACGAGUGGCGAACGGGUGAGUAAUGCAUCGGAACGUACCCAGUCGUGGGGGAUAACGUAGCGAAAGUUACGCUAAUACCGCAUACGUCCUGAGGGAGAAAGCGGGGGACCGUAAGGCCUCGCGCGAUUGGAGCGGCCGAUGUCGGAUUAGCUAGUUGGUGGGGUAAAGGCCUACCAAGGCGACGAUCCGUAGCGGGUCUGAGCGGAUGAUCCGCCACACUGGGACUGCGACACGGCCCAGACUCCUACGGGAGGCAGCAGUGGGGAAUUUUGGACAAUGGGCGCAAGCCUGAUCCAGCCAUGCCGCGUGAGUGAAGCAGGCCUUCGGGUUGUAAAGCUCUUUCGGCGGGGAAGAAAUCGCACUGGUUAAUACCUGGUGUGGAUGCCGGUACCCGAAUAAGAAGCACCGGCUACCUACGU